ACCUACGGGACGCAGCAGUAGGGAAUUUUCGUCAAUGGGCGCAAGCCUGAACGGGCAAUGCCGCGUGAACGAGGAAGGUCUUCGGAUCGUAAAGUUCUGUUGAAGGGGAAAAAGAGCGGAGAGAGGAAAUGCUUUCUGAUUGAUAUUACCCUUCGAGGAAGUCACGGCUAACUACGGGCCAGCAGCCGCGGUAAUACGUAGGUGGCGAGCGUUAUCCGGAAUGAUUGGGCGUAAAGGGUGCGUAGGCGGCCUGCUAAGUCUGGAGUGAAAGGUACCGGCUCAACCGGUACAGGCUCUGGAAACUG
RNAcentral lists this ribosomal RNA (305 nucleotides) under uncultured bacterium. RNAcentral describes it as "bacterial SSU rRNA". It matches the Rfam family "Bacterial small subunit ribosomal RNA", at positions 337 to 635 of the family's 1533-position model. The record is from RNAcentral.